RNAcentral lists this transfer RNA (85 nucleotides) under Felis catus (domestic cat). It matches the Rfam family "tRNA". Rfam says of the family: Transfer RNA (tRNA) molecules are approximately 80 nucleotides in length. The record is from Rfam by way of RNAcentral. Lineage: Eukaryota; Metazoa; Chordata; Mammalia; Carnivora; Felidae.
GCCUGGGUGGCUUGGUCGGUUGAGCGUCUGACUUCUGCUCAGGUCAUGAUCUCGCGGUUUGUGAGUUCAAACCCCACAUUGGGCU